This 952-nucleotide ribosomal RNA is filed under the name uncultured organism. RNAcentral describes it as "bacterial SSU rRNA". It matches the Rfam family "Bacterial small subunit ribosomal RNA", at positions 39 to 1005 of the family's 1533-position model. The record is from RNAcentral.
GCGGCGCGCUUAACGCAUGCAAGUCGAGCGAUGAGGCUCCCUUCGGGGAGUACAUCAGCGGCAGACGGGUGAGUAACACGUAGAUAACCUGCCCUCAAGACGGGGACAACCGGUGGAAACAGCGGCUAAUACCCGAUAUGCUCACAGGAUCGGGAGGUCGAGUGAGGAAAGGCUUCGGUGCUUGAGGAGGGAUCUGCGGCCCAUCAGCUAGUUGGUGAGGUAACGGCUCACCAAGGCGAAGACGGGUAGGGGGUGUGAGAGCAUGGCCCCCCACAAUGGGACUGAGACACGGCCCAUACUCCUACGGGAGGCAGCAGCGGGGAAUAUUGCGCAAUGGACGGAAGUCAGACGCAGCGACGCCGCGUGGGUGAGGAAGGUCUUCGGGUUGUAAAGCCCUUUUCAGGGGAGCGAGAAAGGACGGUACCCUUGGAAUAAGCGUCGGCUAACUACGUGCCAGCAGCCGCGGUAAGACGUAGGACGCAAGCGUUAUCCGGAUUUACUGGGCGUAAAGCGCCUGUAGGCGGUCAAGUAAGUCGGAUGUGAAAGCCCCGUGCUCAACGCGGGGAAGCCAUUCGAUACUGCGUGACUAGAGAACGGCCAGAGGGGACAACGGAAUUUCUGGUGUAGCGGUAAAAUGCGCAGAGAUCAGAAAGAACACCGAUGGCGAAGGCAGUUUCCUAGGCCGCAUCUGACGCUGAGAGGCGAAAGCUAGGGGAGCAAACAGGAUUAGAGACCCUGGUAGUCCUAGCUGUAAACGAUGGAUGCUAGGUGUGGGCCGGAAAGGUCCGUGCCGUAGUUAACGCGAUAAGCAUCCCGUCUGGGGAGUACGGCCGCAAGGCUAAAACUCAAACGAAUUGACGGGGACCCGCACAAGCAGCGGAGCGUGUGGUUUAAUUCGAUGCUACACGCAGAACCUUACCUGGGCUUGACAUUAGUGUAUGAAUGAACGGAG